UUUCCGUAGGUGAACCUGCGGAAGGAUCAUUAUUGGAUUUUGAAACUUCAGGCUGCUGCUGGCUCUCCUCGGAGGGCAUGUGCACGCUUGUUGUCCAUUAUUUCUCCCACUGUGCACAUAUUGUAGACCUUUCAGUAGGCCUAUGUUGUUUUUCACAAUCUCUGAAUGUAAUAGAAUGGUUUUGAAUCUUGGGAAAUACAAUACAACUUUCAGCAACGGAUCUCUUGGCUCUCACAUCGAUGAAGAACGCAGC
RNAcentral lists this unclassified non-coding RNA (253 nucleotides) under plant metagenome. Its description in RNAcentral is "partial contains small subunit ribosomal RNA, internal transcribed spacer 1, and 5.8S ribosomal RNA". The stretch from base 205 to 253 matches the Rfam family "5.8S ribosomal RNA", at positions 1 to 49 of the family's 154-position model. The record is from RNAcentral.